Molecule: ribosomal RNA, 445 nt
Filed under: uncultured bacterium
Lineage: Bacteria
Description: partial 16S ribosomal RNA
Rfam family: Bacterial small subunit ribosomal RNA
Source: RNAcentral
GUAGGGAAUAUUGGGCAAUGGAUGCAAGUCUGACCCAGCCAUCCAGCGUGCCGGAAGAAGGCCCUCAGGGUUGUAAACGGCUUUUGACGGUGAAGAAUCGACAGGAUGCGUCCUGUUUUGACGGUAGCCGUUGAAUAAGCACCGGCUAACUCCGUGCCAGCAGCCGCGGUAAUACGGAGGGUGCGAGCGUUGUCCGGAUUUAUUGGGUUUAAAGGGUGCGUAGGCUGGAAGGUCAGUCAGCGGUGAAAAGCUAUCGCUUAACGAUAGUCUUGCCGCAGAUACUUCCGUUCUUGGAUGAGGAGGAGGCCACUGGAACGGAUGGUGUAGCGGUGAAAUGCAUAGAUAUCAUCCAGAACACCGAUUGCGAAGGCAGGUGGCUGUACCUUAAUCGACGCUGAUGCACGAAAGCAUGGGGAGCAAACAGGAUUAGAAACCCGGGUAGUCC